RNAcentral lists this ribosomal RNA (497 nucleotides) under uncultured bacterium. Its description in RNAcentral is "partial 16S ribosomal RNA". It matches the Rfam family "Bacterial small subunit ribosomal RNA", at positions 29 to 507 of the family's 1533-position model. The record is from RNAcentral.
AAUGAACGCUGGCGGUGUGCCUAAUACAUGCAAGUCGAGCGACAGCACAAGAAGAUCUCGCCCCUGCUGUUAGCGGCGGACGGGUGAGUAACAAGUGGAUCACAUACUUCUUAUACUGGGGUGACUACGGGAAACAGGUUAUACUACCGGAUGAUAUUUUCUACCGCUUGGUUCAAAAGUGAUAGACACCCUUGCUGUCUGUAAUAGAUGGAUCCGCGCUGCAUUAGCUAGUUGGUAAGGUAACGGCUUACCAAGGCAACGAUGCAUAGCUGACCUGAGAGGGUGAUCAGCCACACUGGAACUGAGACACGGUCCAGACUCCUACGGGAGGCAGCAGUAGGGAAUCUUGGGCAAUGGGCGAAAGCCUGACGGAGCAACGCCGCGUGAGUGAUGAAGGUCUUCGGAUCGUAAAGCUCUUUUAUUAGGAAAGAACAGAUGUGUAUGUAUCUGUGGACAUCUUGACGGUACCUAAUCAGUAAGCAACGGCUAACUUCGUG